RNAcentral lists this ribosomal RNA (890 nucleotides) under uncultured bacterium. RNAcentral describes it as "bacterial SSU rRNA". It matches the Rfam family "Bacterial small subunit ribosomal RNA", at positions 28 to 896 of the family's 1533-position model. The record is from RNAcentral.
AAUCAACGCUGGCGGCGUGCCUAACACAUGCAAGUCGAACGCGAAAGUGGCUUCGGCCGCGAGUAGAGUGGCAAACGGGUGAGUAACACGUGGGCGACCUGCCCUCGAGUGGGGGAUAACGUUCCGAAAGGGACGCUAAUACCGCAUGAUAUCCCGCCUUUGAAGAGGUGGAGAUCGAAGCCGGGGAUCGCAAGACCUGGCGCUCGAGGAGGGACCCGCGCCCGAUUAGCUAGUUGGUGGGGUAACGGCUCACCAAGGCGACGAUCGGUAGCCGGCCUGAGAGGGCGGACGGCCACACUGGGACUGAGACACGGCCCAGACUCCUACGGGAGGCAGCAGUGGGGAAUUGUUCGCAAUGGGCGCAAGCCUGACGACGCAACGCCGCGUGGAGGACGAAGAUCUUCGGAUCGUAAACUCCUGUCGAGUGGGACGAACGGCCCGGGACCUAAUACGUCUCGGGAGUGACGGUACCGCGAGAGGAAGCCCCGGCUAACUCCGUGCCAGCAGCCGCGGUAAUACGGGGGGGGCAAGCGUUGUUCGGAAUUACUGGGCGUAAAGGGCUCGUAGGCGGCCAACUAAGUCAGACGUGAAAUCCCUCGGCUCAACCGGGGAACUGCGUCUGAUACUGGUUGGCUCGAAUCCGGGAGAGGGAUGCAGAAUUCCAGGUGUAGCGGUGAAAUGCGUAGAUAUCUGGAGGAAUACCGGUGGCGAAGGCGGCAUCCUGGACCGGCAUUGACGCUGAUGAGCGAAAGCCAGGGGAGCAAACGGGAUUAGAUACCCCGGUAGUCCUGGCCCUAAACGAUGAAUGCUUGGUGUGGCGGGUAUCGAUCCCUGCCGUGCCGGAGCUAACGCGGUAAGCAUUCCGCCUGGGGAGUACGGUCGCAAGGCUG